AUGGCCAUGCAAAUUUCCAAGAAGAAGUUUGUCACUGAUGGCAUCUUCUAAGCUGAACUGAAUGAGUUUCUUACUCAGGAACUGGCUGAAGAUGGCUACUCUGGAGUUGAGGUGCGAGUUACACCAGCCAAGACAGAAAUCAUUACCUUAGUCACCAGAACACAGAAUGUUCUUGGUGAGAAGGGCUGGGGGACUCGGGAACUGACUGCUGUAGUUCAGAAGAGGUUUGGCUUUCCAGAGGGCAGUGUAGAGCUUUAUGCUGAAAAGGUGGCCGCUAGGGGCCUGUGUGCCAUUGCCCAGGCAGAGUGUCUGCAUUGCAAACGCUAGGAGGGCUUGCCGUGCAGAGGGCCUGCUAUGGUGUGUUGUGGUUCAUCAUGGAGAGUGGGGCUAAAGGCUGCGAGGUCGUGGUGUCUGGGAAACUCUGAGGACAGAGGGCUAAAUCCAUGAAGUUUGUGGAUGGCCUGAUGAUCCACAGCAGAGACCCUGUUAACUACUACAUUGACACUG
This is an RNA transcript of Mandrillus leucophaeus (drill), 507 nucleotides long. It is a transcript of the gene named 40S ribosomal protein S3 pseudogene, with no coding region annotated. The transcript has a single exon. The record is from RefSeq and is a predicted model, not a curated record. NCBI's taxonomy places the organism in Eukaryota, Metazoa, Chordata, Mammalia, Primates, Cercopithecidae.